This is a long non-coding RNA of Carcharodon carcharias (great white shark), 1080 nucleotides long. RefSeq lists it as uncharacterized. The record is from RefSeq and is a predicted model, not a curated record. Lineage: Eukaryota; Metazoa; Chordata; Chondrichthyes; Lamniformes; Lamnidae. The transcript is spliced from 3 exons.
CUAAUGAGCUCUCAGACAACAAGCCUUUGCUUAUAUGCCAUCCAGGAGUGUAAGAGGGGUACAAAGGAAACUCCUCAGCCAAAAGAGCAGCAUUCAAGUCUUGGAUUGAGUUGAACUUCAUGGCAGCUCAAGAAUUGUUGAGAAAAUAAGUGACUUUUGGCAUUAAAUCAAACCAAGCUGCUUGUGGCCAAUGUUAGAGAUGGAAGAGACUUGAGAUCAGAGCAGAUAGAGGCCAAGAAGCCACCAGAUAAUAAUGGACCCAGGUUGAGAUGAUCAAAGUUGGCCUUGAUGUUGUGGAGUGAAGAAAAUCAAGUGCAAUUGAGGCACCUGGCAUCUGUUGCUCUUAUCUCAGGAGUUGAGACACCUCGGCAUGUCUGAAGAGACCUGAAUUUGUCUUUCCAUUUUACAAGGUACAUUCUUGGAGCUGUGACCUUCAACUAGCAUUGUUUGCUGUGGAAAUCUGGAUGAACUACAGGCUGAGGCCUUUUGCACUGGCAUUGCCUUCCAACAGGGAAUACAGUUACAGGUAAUUUCACAGAGAGAAUACAAUUCAAUGGAUAAGUUUAAUCAUCUUCUUGUAAUAUCCUCAUUCCAAAUAGCAUGGUAUGAGAUCCCCUAAGAUAUCAUCCACACUCACCCAUUUUAAAUCUUUUUUUCUUCAUAAAUCACAUUGUUUAUUGAAGAUUCUGUGUUUAAUAUGUAACUGGUUGCAAAUAUACCUUCUGUUAGCUUUCUCUCUUAAAAGUCAAUUCACAACCAAACAUCCCCACAGAGACAAUGGACCAAUCCACAAUCAAGCACUCCCAUAGAGACAAUGGACUAGUCUACUCAGGAGCAGGGAAUACCAUAACUUUGAAGUAGCCAUUUUGCUGCUCCCUCCUGCUACUUCAAACUAUGCACAUUGGGCAGGAUUCUCCCCCCAUCGGGGGUGAAGUUGAAGGCCGGGCACGCACAGGCGUGCUUCUGAUCAGCGUCCCCAAUUGGGGGCGCAACACCAUUUUAUGUGGGCAGGCCAAUUAAGGUCCGCCCAGCAUGACGUCUGCCGCUAUGUGCUCCCUGUGCGGGUGGGGGAAUCCCAAA